AUACCUUUCUCGGCCUUUUAGCCUGGUUAAGAUCAAGUGUAGUAUCUAUUCUUAUCAUUUUAAUAUCUGAUACAUGGGUCAUUGACCCACAACGAUAUUAAAUUUAUUUUUUUAGGGGGAGCAUCCACCAAAGUAGCUUGCUAUUGGAUCCUUGAGCACUAUUGCAUUGCAUGGGCUAGGUGCACCCCCA
This is a non-coding RNA of Beta vulgaris subsp. vulgaris (sugar beet), 190 nucleotides long. The record is from Rfam. Lineage: Eukaryota; Viridiplantae; Streptophyta; Magnoliopsida; Caryophyllales; Amaranthaceae.